UACGUAGGUGGCGAGCGUUGUCCGGAUUUACUGGGCGUAAAGAGCGCGCAGGCGGUCGUAUAAGUCGAAUGUGAAAGCCCCCGGCUCAACUGGGGAGAGUCAUUCGAUACUGUUCGACUCGAAGGCAGGAGAGGGAAGUGGAAUUCCGGGUGUAGUGGUGAAAUGCGUAGAUAUCCGGAGGAACACCAGUGGCGAAGGCGGCCUUCUGGUCCAGUACUGACACUCAAGUGCGAAAGCGUGGGGAGCAAACAGG
This 253-nucleotide ribosomal RNA is filed under the name uncultured bacterium. Its description in RNAcentral is "partial 16S ribosomal RNA". It matches the Rfam family "Bacterial small subunit ribosomal RNA", at positions 524 to 776 of the family's 1533-position model. The record is from RNAcentral.